Molecule: ribosomal RNA, 501 nt
Filed under: uncultured bacterium
Lineage: Bacteria
Description: partial 16S ribosomal RNA
Rfam family: Bacterial small subunit ribosomal RNA
Source: RNAcentral
AUUGAACGCUGGCGGCAGGCUUAACACAUGCAAGUCGAGCGGGGGAAGGUAGCUUGCUACCGGACCUAGCGGCGGACGGGCGAGUAAUGCUUAGGAAUCUGCCUAUUAGUGGGGGACAACAUCUCGAAAGGGAUGCUAAUACCGCAUACGUCCUACGGGAGAAAGCAGGGGAUCUUCGGACCUUGCGCUAAUAGAUGAGCCUAAGUCGGAUUAGCUAGUUGAUGGGGUAAAGGCCUACCAAGGCGACGAUCAGGAGCGGGUCUGAGAGGAUGAUCCGCCACACUGGGACUGAGACACGGCCCAGACUCCUACGGGAGGCAGCAGUGGGGAAUAUUGGACAAUGGGGGGAACCCUGAUCCAGCCAUGCCGCGUGUGUGAAGAAGGCCUUAUGGUUGUAAAGCACUUUAAGCGAGGAGGAGGCUACUCUAGUUAAUACCUAGGGAUAGUGGACGUUACUCGCAGAAUAAGCACCGGCUAACUCUGUGCCAGCAGCCGCCGUAA